Molecule: long non-coding RNA, 1989 nt
Organism: Xenopus tropicalis (tropical clawed frog)
Lineage: Eukaryota; Metazoa; Chordata; Amphibia; Anura; Pipidae
Exons: 3
Source: RefSeq, a predicted model, not a curated record
AACUCGCCAUGUUUUCACCAUGUACUGAAAAUAUAAUAUCCAUGGCAGACAGCUGAGUCACUAGGCAGGUAUUGUUCAAUAUUGUGCUAUCCCACGAUCAACAUUUCCAGUGCGCUAUUAGUUUGUUUGUUAAAGCUUCUAUAAAACUAGUAGCUACUGUAUGACAACACUACUCAUACUGACAAUGUCACUCUCAUGACUUGCCUUUUUGGACACAAAAUAUAAGGUUAGAACAGAAUUUGUCUCUAAUUUGAUUUGUCCUUUAUAUUUACCUCUCAUCUGGAUCAUUUAAGGAAAUGCAUAGCAGGAGGGAUUAAAAGGCACAGAAAUCAAGCAGAGAGCACAUUGACCCUUGAAGCACAUUACUAAGGGGAUUAAUUAUCUUUUAAGCCUUUCUUUUAGAUGUGAUAAUUGUAAUGGGAUGAUCUACGUGGAGGUCUUCAAACAAGAGCAUGCGUGUGUGACCAACCUGAACACAUGUGAACAAAUACAGAGGAAUGGUUAUUAGAAAGUGACUUGUGGCUCAAAAAUGGUCGAGAAGCCUGUAACAGUCAGUGUGAGACAGAUUCCAUUUAACAAAUUGCAGACUACAUGACCAGGUUCAAGUAUUUCUCUACUGUUUGAGAAAUUUCAUUUUCUGGAGGUUCCAAACAAAUAAAUCCUAAAACAGAAGGGACAAGAGAAGCUACAGUUCAUAAAAACAUAAGGAUAAUGGAAUUGAUAGAAGAAAACAGCAGUGCGGAGAAAACUAAAGAAAAAAAAUUCAAAAGGUGUGUAUAACAUAGAAUACUUUCUGAAAACUGGAAAUCAUCUAACAAAAAAUUACACAGUUGUGUGAUAUGAAUAUUCUUGUAAUAAUGGCCCAUUUGAAUGCUUUUCCACCGUCAUUCUUCCCUACACUGUGUCCAAUAUUAUUUGAUACAUGUUUCAUGUUUUUCAUAUCACAAAAAAAUAGAAAAUCUGGGGCUAUGAGAAAAGAACAAACAUAUCAAGAAUCAUUUAUGAACACAGUGUAGCUAAUAUUUUUUGAGUGGGGGGGUUGUGAGUCACAAACAGCAUGAACAGUCUGCUGCACCUACUGACACAACCACUGGGGUAACCCUCAUGUUACUACCAUGUUGGGGUUUGUGGUAGCUCCAUGGUUCCUCAGUGUCUACUAAAGAGGUUGACGGAUGCAAUAAUGCUAAGGGGCUGCUUUAUCAAUGUCUGAAUUCAGAUAUGCCAUUAUACGAUUUUUGUUUUUGCUAAAACUCAUGAAUUUUGCAAAUGAUGAGUAGAAUACAAAUUUGAUGCAAUCAAGUUUUUUUUUUUUCACGUUUCUUGUAGAUUCGAGUUUGGACAAUUUUAGGGUUUAUUCGAAUUAAAAAAUAACUCUAAAAUGCACUCAUUUGAAUUUUGACAAAUAGGCCUCCCUGUGUAACUAUAGGAAAGUGGACACAGGUAACUCUAAUGGAUAGCUUUAAUGAUCACACCAUUUGCAUCCAUGAAGCUCAUGUGUUGCUAUUUGUGUUUGUAAAUUACCCUUAUCUUAAUUUUAGGUAGUGAUUAUAUUUUAUCUCCCCUUAAAUAGACAAUUAACAAUAGAUAAGGCAAGGAUGAUUUAAUUUUUUCCUUUAAUUUGCAUUUAUGCAUUUUAGGGGCAACUGACAUACAGUAGGAUAUAUUCAGGGCCAUCAGUGUUCCCUGCCAUGGUCCCCUUUUAAUAAUUUCAAAGAAGCAGUAAGCAAAAGGUUCCUCUGAUUGAUAAAGACUUCUGAUCAAUGCGGUCUGAUCAAAUUGUUUCUACAUCAGAUGAUAACCCCAUAGAAUGAUACUCAUACAGUUGGAUUGGAGUCUGAGUAUGGCCAACUUAUGGUCCCACAAAACUGAAAGAAUUCUGUAGCAAGUAUAACUACUUAGUAGCAUUAACAGAUAAAAAUAGAAUUGCUUUUAUAAAUUAAAGUAGAAUUAUUCUUGGUUUCUGAAUAAAAUAAUGUUUAACUGAAUUAA